RNAcentral lists this ribosomal RNA (253 nucleotides) under uncultured bacterium. RNAcentral describes it as "partial 16S ribosomal RNA". It matches the Rfam family "Bacterial small subunit ribosomal RNA", at positions 524 to 776 of the family's 1533-position model. The record is from RNAcentral.
UACAGAGGUCUCAAGCGUUGUUCGGAUUCAUUGGGCGUAAAGGGUGUGUAGGUGGCGCCGUAAGUCGGGUGUGAAAUUUCGGAGCUUAACUCCGAAACUGCAUUCGAUACUGCGGUGCUUGAGGACUGGAGAGGAGACUGGAAUUCAUGGUGUAACAGUGAAAUGCGUAGAGAUCAUGAGGAAGACCAGUGGCGAAGGCGGGUCUCUGGACAGUUCCUGACACUGAGGCACGAAGGCCAGGGGAGCAAACGGG